AACGAACGCUGGCGGCAGGCUUAACACAUGCAAGUCGAGCGCCCCGCAAGGGGAGCGGCAGACGGGUGAGUAACGCGUGGGAACGUACCUUUUGGUUCGGAACAACUCUGGGAAACUGGAGCUAAUACCGGAUAAGCCCUAACGGGGAAAGAUUUAUCGACGAAAGCUCGGCCCGCGUCUGAUUAGCUAGUUGGUGAGGUAAUGUCUCACCAAGGCGACGAUCAGUAGCUGGUCUGAGAGGAUGAUCAGACACACUGGGGCUGAGACACGGCCCGGACUCCUACGGGAGGCAGCAGUGGGGAAUAGUGGACAAUGGGCGCAAGCCUGAUCCAGCCAUGCCGCGUGAGUGAUGAAGGCCUUAGGGUUGUAAAGCUCUUUUGUCCGGGAAGAUAAUGACUGUACCGGAAGAAUAAGCCCCGGCUAACUUCGUG
This 431-nucleotide ribosomal RNA is filed under the name uncultured bacterium. RNAcentral's name for it is "partial 16S ribosomal RNA". It matches the Rfam family "Bacterial small subunit ribosomal RNA", at positions 29 to 507 of the family's 1533-position model. The record is from RNAcentral.